UGUUCUGUAGCUUAGUUGGUUAAAGCGCCGGUCUAGCGUACACGGAGUCGUGAGUUCGAGUUUCACUAGAACGC
This is a non-coding RNA of Aedes aegypti (yellow fever mosquito), 74 nucleotides long. NCBI's taxonomy places the organism in Eukaryota, Metazoa, Arthropoda, Insecta, Diptera, Culicidae. The record is from Rfam.